Molecule: long non-coding RNA, 285 nt
Filed under: Zonotrichia albicollis (white-throated sparrow)
Lineage: Eukaryota; Metazoa; Chordata; Aves; Passeriformes; Passerellidae
Description: lncRNA (ENSZALG00000013682.1)
Source: RNAcentral
GAAGGACCCUCUGGCUGACCCUGGUGUGCCCCUGCCCUAGUGCAGAGAAGGCAGCCCAGUGACCCCAUCCCAGGCUGGGGAAGAAUCCUCAAGCCAGAGCUCAGCGCCGCAUCCAGAGCCUCACGACAGGAGCUUUGCCUCGAGUGGAGUCUUCUGGAGCUGUGAUGAAAACAGGAUUAAAGAAGAAAUCAUUGGCAGUGGAGUGCUACAACAACUGAACUGCUUCUUUUCAGUGGAUACUAAAGGUACCUUUAGCUGCCAUUUUAGCAAAAUGGGCUAAAUUCU